CUAGGGGAAGAACUAGCAAGGGCUCAGUGUCAUCCAAACCUUCUUUCAUGGAUAAUUUUUAUAUGUACAAAGUAAGAUGUUGAACCCCUUUGACUAAUAUUUAGAAUAUUCUAAAUGAAAAUCCAAGCUUCGGCAUGCUAAAGGUUGUUGUAGCUUGUAUGUAAAGGGGUUCAUGUUGUCCCUUGAACUAUUUGAAUGGGACAAAUAUAUUCUAAUAAAAUUCUUGAUGCUGUAAAAAUAUGGUUCUGAAUUUCUGCAAUUCACCGUCCAAGUUGGAGAAUCUAGACAAUCUUUUUCCGACUAAAGAAAGAUAUUCUUAAAAGCAAUCUCUAUUGGUCAAAAAUUGAAAUGAAGGAAAUAAAAAGACAAGCACGGUCCACAACUUUUUUUGCAGUUUUAAUGCGAGGAAGACUAAAAUAUAUUAUAGCUUGGAAGUUUCUCAAGAGAAGCGAUACCAUUAACUAUUACGAAAGGGAAUAUAAUAUAUUUUCUAAUCUUUCUUAGAUCUCGUUGAAAAUGUUGUUUAUAGAUAAUCUAUUAAACAUAUAAAGGAGAUUAGACUUUUAC
This 567-nucleotide unclassified non-coding RNA is filed under the name Hevea brasiliensis (rubber tree). The record is from RNAcentral. Lineage: Eukaryota; Viridiplantae; Streptophyta; Magnoliopsida; Malpighiales; Euphorbiaceae.